Pyrgilauda ruficollis (rufous-necked snowfinch) is the source of this 1251-nucleotide long non-coding RNA. RefSeq lists it as uncharacterized. Lineage: Eukaryota; Metazoa; Chordata; Aves; Passeriformes; Passeridae. The record is from RefSeq and is a predicted model, not a curated record. The transcript has 4 exons.
AUGAAAAAACCACCUCACUGAAUUAAAGUAAAAGUCUAAGUAGAGAGGGUUUUUUCUCACCCUCCUACUUCCCUUCUUUAUAGGAACAUCCAGGGAGAUGGGUUCAUGGUUUUUAUUCGAGAUUCUAAAGGAGAGAGCAAAAGCUGUGAUAGAAUACUGUGUGUUUUACAGAUUUGUAUAGGUAUAUACAAACUUAUAUAUAAGUAACUUCUAAAUUGAAAGCUUAACUUUUCAGUCUUCAAGCAGCAAAUUGUACUUCUAAAAUAUACUUCAUACAGCUUAAUAAAAAAUGAUUCUUUAUACAUUUUUGAUGUCCCUUUAAAAAUGAGGGAAAAGGAAGUUUUAGCAAUGACAGGAGUGGCUGUCGUGCUGUACAAUACAAAUGGUCUGUACCUCUGUUCUAAACCACCUUCUGAAAUGCCCUGAAUUUAAAUAAAAAGUAAUAGGAAAGGAGUAGUGAAUGGCAAACUUGUCUCUGGGACAAAAGCCUAGCUAGCUGAAGUUAGUUUUGCCUUCCCAGCGGUUCUGUCAGCCCCCCAGCAGAAUGCCAUUGCUCCUGUCAUCCUCUCCAGGCAGGGUGAAGGUUAUCGGGUGCUCUGCCCUUCUGGCUGAGUGCUCUGGCAGCGCUCGCCUGCCCAGCUCGGGGGAUUCCUCUCAGUCACAACUCAGCAGGUGCCCUUGCUGACAAACGGGUUAAGCUGCAGGUCCUCAUUGAUCAUGAGCUGUCCUCUGAACUCUUUUUGACUUCUACUAGCCCAGGCGCCACUUGACUGUAGUUUUCUUGGGAGUGGGUGUGGCUGCAGGAGAGCGCUGAGCUCUCUCUUGCAGUCUUGGCUGCCCCUCUGCCUUUUCCGUGGAGCUGUGUGGUGUUGCGUUGGCCUCCCAUUGCUUUAAAUUUACAGAUGUUUCACAGAGGGCUGGAUACUAAAAGAGCAGAAUGGUUGGGCUUGACAAGUAUUCACUUCAGAGAAACUCUGUGAAGAAAUUGGUUUAUCCAGUCACUUCAGGAUAAACUGCAGUUUUAUAAACUACCACACUGAGACUGAAGAAAGACAAUUCUAAGGAAAAAAGGCUCUUUUUAAAGGGAGAGAAUAUGAUUGCAGUUUUACCAUCAGACAUGUAAACACUGGAGAGUUCAUGUCUUGUCACAUACUGUUUAACAAGAUUCCAUGGCCAAAAAGUCACAGAGCAGUUGAGAUUUUCACCCUUAGUGCCUCCUUUGUAUAUCUCACAGUGUAUGGAGAGACCUCA